Long non-coding RNA from Quercus robur (English oak), 727 nucleotides. RefSeq lists it as uncharacterized. The record is from RefSeq and is a predicted model, not a curated record. Lineage: Eukaryota; Viridiplantae; Streptophyta; Magnoliopsida; Fagales; Fagaceae. The transcript is spliced from 4 exons.
AAAACUCUAUAGGACUAGCUUUCCCCCCAGAUUUUUUUUUUCUUCCUGCAAAAAUUUUCCGCCAAUUUUUUAUUUCCCACUUUUUUUUUUUAUCCCUUCUUUCUUUUCAAUUCCCACUUCUCUCUCCCCUCACGCCGCCACCUCUAGCCACCUAUCUGCUCUCUCUCCCACACGCCGGAGUCACAAUCCCUAAUCACAAACCCUAAUUUCUUCUCUGAAUUUUUGUGUUUCUUUGUUUUCUCCCACUUUCUCGUCGAUUUUCACCGCAUUUCUUUGAUUUUCCUUUUGCACAUUUCUCAGAAAACUCAAAAAUCGAAGGUCUCCUCUCAUCUCGACUCCAACACCGCUGAUUCCACUAGUUUGAUUACAGGCAAAAAUGGGCUUGGGGAGGGUAUCGUUGUCACUCUUUGGGGUCAGCCUUAGGUCAAUGCUGAACUUCCUAUGUCCUGAGCCACUGGUGAUGUGUACCAAAAGAGACUGUCAAGUACUUCAACAAUGAAGCUUUUCAAGCUGAUCAAUAUGAUGAGUACUUAAAAGAUUCUUAAUGCAAGAGAAAGUUGGUGGCUGUGCAUCAGUCUUUGAGAAGUACCACGAGAAGGCAGAAUCCUUUUUUUGAGACCCUUUAAACAUUGGAGGGUGACUUAGAGGAAAACUAAUAUAGAUCUUGUCAUAAUUCUAGUUGUUUAAGUUUAAAACAAUAUUUUUAUGUCAUAGUUUAAUUUCAGGA